UGGCCCCGUAGCUCAACUGGAUAGAGUAUCACACUACGAAUGUGACGGUUGCAGGUUCGAAUCUUGCCGGGGUCACCCA
Molecule: transfer RNA, 79 nt
Filed under: Bacteroidota bacterium
Lineage: Bacteria; Pseudomonadati; Bacteroidota
Description: tRNA-Arg
Rfam family: tRNA
About the family: Transfer RNA (tRNA) molecules are approximately 80 nucleotides in length. Their secondary structure includes four short double-helical elements and three loops (D, anti-codon, and T loops). Further hydrogen bonds mediate the characteristic L-shaped molecular structure. tRNAs have two regions of fundamental functional importance: the anti-codon, which is responsible for specific mRNA codon recognition, and the 3' end, to which the tRNAs corresponding amino acid is attached (by aminoacyl-tRNA synthetases). tRNAs cope with the degeneracy of the genetic code in two manners: having more than one tRNA (with a specific anti-codon) for a particular amino acid; and 'wobble' base-pairing, i.e. permitting non-standard base-pairing at the 3rd anti-codon position.
Source: RNAcentral